Molecule: ribosomal RNA, 430 nt
Filed under: uncultured bacterium
Lineage: Bacteria
Description: partial 16S ribosomal RNA
Rfam family: Bacterial small subunit ribosomal RNA
Source: RNAcentral
CCUACGGGAGGCAGCAGUGGGGAAUAUUGGACAAUGGGGGAAACCCUGAUCCAGCGACGCCGCGUGGGUGAAGAAGGCCUGCGGGUUGUAAAGCCCUUUCGGUAGGGACGCUUAACCUACAAAAGAAGCACCGGCUAACUCUGUGCCAGCAGCCGCGGUAAUACAGAGGGUGCGAGCGUUAAUCGGAAUUACUGGGCGUAAAGCGCACGUAGGCGGCUUGGUAUGUCGGGUGUGAAAUCCCCGGGCUCAACCUGGGAACUGCAUCCGAAACUGCCUUGCUCGAGUAUGGGAGAGGGAAGUGGAAUUCCGGUGUAGCGGUGAAAUGCGUAGAUAUCGGAAGGAACAUCAGUGGCGAAGGCGACUUCCUGGACCAUCUGACGCUCAGGUGCGAAAGCGUGGGGAGCAAACAGGAUUAGAUACCCUUGUAGUC